RNAcentral lists this ribosomal RNA (320 nucleotides) under uncultured Edaphobacter sp. Its description in RNAcentral is "bacterial SSU rRNA". It matches the Rfam family "Bacterial small subunit ribosomal RNA", at positions 484 to 803 of the family's 1533-position model. The record is from RNAcentral. Lineage: Bacteria; Pseudomonadati; Acidobacteriota; Terriglobia; Terriglobales; Acidobacteriaceae.
GAAGAAGCCCCGGCUAAUUUCGUGCCAGCAGCCGCGGUAAUACGAGGGGGGCAAGCGUUGUUCGGAAUUAUUGGGCGUAAAGGGUGCGUAGGCGGUUUGUUAAGUCUUAUGUGAAAUCUUCGGGCUCAACCCGAAGUCUGCAUGGGAAACUGUCGGGCUUGAGUAUGGGAGAGGUGAGUGGAAUUUCCGGUGUAGCGGUGAAAUGCGUAGAUAUCGGAAGGAACACCUGUGGCGAAAGCGGCUCACUGGACCAUAACUGACGCUGAUGCACGAAAGCUAGGGGAGCAAACAGGAUUAGAUACCCUGGUAGUCCUAGCCCU